AACGAACGCUGGCGGCAUGCCUAACACAUGCAAGUCGUGCGAGAAAGUUCCUUCGGGAGCGAGUAAAGCGGCGCACGGGUGAGUAACACGUAGGUAACCUGCCCCCCAGUCUGGAACAACUAGAGGAAACUCUAGCUAAUGCCGGAUGAGACCACGAUCCCUUCGGGGGUUGCGGCCAAAGAUGGCCUCUACUUGUAAGCUAUCGCUGAGGGAUGGGCCUGCGGGCCAUUAGCUUGUUGGUGAGGUAACGGCUCACCAAGGCUGUGAUGGCUAGCUGGUCUGAGAGGAUGACCAGCCACACUGGGACUGAGACACGGCCCAGACUCCUACGGGAGGCAGCAGUGGGGAAUAUGCGCAAUGGGCGAAAGCCUGACGCAGCGACGCCGCGUGGGUGAUGAA
RNAcentral lists this ribosomal RNA (399 nucleotides) under uncultured bacterium. RNAcentral describes it as "bacterial SSU rRNA". It matches the Rfam family "Bacterial small subunit ribosomal RNA", at positions 29 to 412 of the family's 1533-position model. The record is from RNAcentral.